UGAAUAUCUUGGUAAAAAAAUUUAGGACGUCUCGCGACGAAACGCUUUGAGUAGGCACUAGCUUGUGAUCCGAAGAUUUCCUUUAAAUCGUAAUUAAUACUUAUAUAAAUAUUGUGAAUUGAAUCAUCUUAGUAACAAUAAAUAAAAUCAAAAGAGAUCUUAUCAGUAAUUGCGAAUGAACAUAAGAAUUUAGUAAUACUAAAAAUUUUUAGAAUAUUUAAAAAGGGUAAGAUAAUCCCGUAUAAAAACGUAUAGUAUUUAUUUAUGUAAUGCGUUCUAAAAAAUGCAUGAAUAUAGGAGUUCCACCUUCUUAACUAAAAAUUUUUUUAACCAAUAGUGAACGAGUACCGUGAGGGAAAGAUUUACAAUCUCGUUAGAGAUUAAAACUUUGAAAUUGGUUGUUUACAAAACCUUGAAAUUCCUUAUAUAACAAGAUUCCUUUUGCAUAAUGAGUUAGUAAGUUAAAAAGUGUAGCAAGACAAAAAUUUUUUCGUAGAAAGUUAUAUUUUUUAGACCUGAAGCCAAGUGAUCUAGUUGAGAACAAGUUGAAGCAUUUUUAAGCAAAUGUUUAAGACUGAACUCGUGUAUGUAGAAAAAUACUGAGAAGAUUUUUAGCUAGGGGCGAAAGACCAAUCAAACUUGGCGAUAGCCGGUUUUUCACGAAACGUAUUUUAGUACUACAUUAUAUUAUGUAAAUUAAAUGUAAAGUUCCUUUUGAACCAGGGGGUGUAAAAACUUACCAAUUUCAAAUUAACUAAGAAUUUUAACUUAAUAAAUAUAAUAGACAGUCUUUUGGCGAUAAGGUCAUAAGACAAAAGGACAACAAUCCACACUGUAAGUUAAGAUCUCCAAAUUAUAUUUUAAUAAAAAUUUUUUUUAGAAACAAAUAAAAGAAGGAUAGGCUUAGAAGCAGCCAUUCACUAGAGAAAGCGUUUUAGCUCAAUAUUUUUUCUAUAGAGAAUUAAAAUUAACCGAGUCUACAAGAUAUAUAUCGACACUGCAGGUUUAACUUUUGAACGGUAGUGAAACGUUCUGUAUACAAAAAGUACAAUGAAAAUUAACUUUUAGUUUCAGAAGUGCUAAUGCUAACAUGAGUAGCGAAAACCAUGUAUAAUCAUGGUCAUUUUAGUGAGGUUUUCAAUGUUCGUUUAACUGCAUUGAGUUAGUCGGUCCUUAAAAAAAAGAAUGAAAAUUGUAUUUGACAGGAAUCUAUACUAAUUAUAAUAUAUUUAAUUUUUCAAGGUAUUAAUUUUUAAAUAGGUUAAAACUUUAUAUUAAACAAAAAUUCGAGAAAAAAUUAUAAUUUUAAACCGUACUUUAGCCAACACAGGUACUAUAUAAAUGAAUGGAUAAAUUAUAUUGAAGGAAUUUGGCAAAUUAACUCUGUAUGUUCGCUAAAAAGAGUACUAAUAGGAUUAUUAGUGAAAGUAACAAAGAAACAACGACUGGUUACCAAAACCACAGAACUCUGCAAAUUAAUUUUAAGACGUAUAGGGUUUGACGUCUGCCCGGUGCUUAAACUCUAUAAACUUUUGUAUUAGCUGAAGUUCAAAAGUUAAGUAAACGGCGGUUCUAACUAUAAGAAUCCUUAGGUAGCGAAAUUCCUUGACGGGUAAAUUCCGUCCUGCAUGAAUGGCGUAACGAUUGUUUCACUGUCUCCAAUAUAAAUCCAGCGAAAUUACAAAACCUAUGAAAAUGUAGGUUUCCCCCAGCAAGACGGAAAGACCCUAGAUCCUUUACUCUAAUCUUAUAUUGUAAAUAAAAAAAGAUAAUGUAGAAUAUAUGGGAGUAUACACAAAUUAUGAAAUACCAUAUUAUCUUCUUUUAUUUACUUUAUUUGAUGCUAAAAUUAAAGACAGUAUAAGAAGGGGAGUUUACUUGGGACGAGUACCUCCUAAAAAAUAACGGAGGUGUACAGAAGGUAGAUUAUUUCUAAAGUGUAAUGACAAAAUCUGCUUAACAAAUAAGAUCGAUAGAUCAAAUUGUAACGAAAGUUAGUCAUAGUGAUCCGACAUUUGAGAGUGGAAUUAAUGUCGCUAAACAGUUAAAAGGAACUCUAGGGAUAACAGAUUUAUCGUGAUUUAGAGUUCAUAUCAAUGUCACGGUUUGAUACCUCGAUGUCGACUCAUCUUAUCCUGAAAUUGCAAAAGAUUUCAAGGGUCUAGUUGUUCGCUAGUUAAAAAGGUACGUGAGUUGGGUUCAGAACGUCGUGAGACAGUUCGGUCCCUAUCUGCUGCGGGUAUAGAAAAGUUUAAAAGUUGUUUUUAGUACGAGAGGACCAAAACAAAUUAACCGCUUGUGUACUGAUUGUUAAACCUAUAAUAAGUCAGUUAGCAACGUUAAUUAAUAUUUAAGUAUUGAAAGCAUCAAAAAUACAAAAUAGAUUUAUUUAACUUUUCAAGAAAGCUCUUAUAGAUUAUAAGAUAGAUCGUUUCAAAAUAUGUUAUUUAGUAAUAAAU
RNAcentral lists this ribosomal RNA (2459 nucleotides) under Neogoniolithon spectabile. RNAcentral's name for it is "large subunit ribosomal RNA". It matches the Rfam family "Bacterial large subunit ribosomal RNA". The record is from RNAcentral. Lineage: Eukaryota; Rhodophyta; Florideophyceae; Corallinales; Spongitidaceae.